AGAGUUUGAUCCUGGCUCAGACGAACGCUGGCGGCGUGCUUAACACAUGCAAGUCGAACGAUGAACCAUUUCGGUGGGGAUUAGUGGCGAACGGGUGAGUAACACGUGGGCAAUCUGCCCUGCACUCUGGGACAAGCCCUGGAAACGGGGUCUAAUACCGGAUAAUACCCACUCUCGCAUGGGGGUGGGUUCAAAGCUCCGGCGGUGCAGGAUGAGCCCGCGGCCUAUCAGCUUGUUGGUGAGGUAGUGGCUCACCAAGGCGACGACGGGUAGCCGGCCUGAGAGGGCGACCGGCCACACUGGGACUGAGACACGGCCCAGACUCCUACGGGAGGCAGCAGUGGGGAAUAUUGCACAAUGGGCGAAAGCCUGAUGCAGCGACGCCGCGUGAGGGAUGACGGCCUUCGGGUUGUAAACCUCUUUCAGCAGGGAAGAAGCGCAAGUGACGGUACCUGCAGAAGAAGCGCCGGCUAACUACGUGCCAGCAGCCGCGGUAAUACGUAGGGCGCAAGCGUUGUCCGGAAUUAUUGGGCGUAAAGAGCUCGUAGGCGGUCUGUCGCGUCGGAUGUGAAAGCCCGGGGCUUAACCCCGGGUCUGCAUUCGAUACGGGCAGACUAGAGUGUGGUAGGGGAGAUCGGAAUUCCUGGUGUAGCGGUGAAAUGCGCAGAUAUCAGGAGGAACACCGGUGGCGAAGGCGGAUCUCUGGGCCAUUACUGACGCUGAGGAGCGAAAGCGUGGGGAGCGAACAGGAUUAGAUACCCUGGUAGUCCACGCCGUAAACGGUGGGAACUAGGUGUUGGCGACAUUCCACGUCGUCGGUGCCGCAGCUAACGCAUUAAGUCCCCGCCUGGGGAGUACGGCCGCAAGGCUAAAACUCAAAGGAAUUGACGG
RNAcentral lists this ribosomal RNA (891 nucleotides) under Streptomyces sp. RNAcentral's name for it is "bacterial SSU rRNA". It matches the Rfam family "Bacterial small subunit ribosomal RNA", at positions 8 to 916 of the family's 1533-position model. Lineage: Bacteria; Bacillati; Actinomycetota; Actinomycetes; Kitasatosporales; Streptomycetaceae. The record is from RNAcentral.